This 253-nucleotide ribosomal RNA is filed under the name uncultured bacterium. Its description in RNAcentral is "partial 16S ribosomal RNA". It matches the Rfam family "Bacterial small subunit ribosomal RNA", at positions 524 to 776 of the family's 1533-position model. The record is from RNAcentral.
UACAGAGGGUGCAAGCGUUGUUCGGAAUUAUUGGGCGUAAAGCGCGUGUAGGCGGCUUUGCAAGUCGGGUGUGAAAGCCCUCAGCUCAACUGAGGAAGUGCGCCCGAAACUGCAGAGCUUGAGUACCGGAGAGGAUGGUGGAAUUCCCCAAGUAGAGGUGAAAUUCGUAGAUAUGGGGAGGAACACCGGUGGCGAAGGCGACCAUCUGGACGGAUACUGACGCUGAGACACGAAAGCGUGGGUAGCAAACAGG